CCAGUGGCGCUCAUCCACUCCAGAAACCCUAUUCAGCUUGCCUCGGCCUCCCCCUCCGCCUUCGUUCCAGCCGCAAGCCAUGGCCGCCGCUCCCCAGAUCCACCUCCUCGCGCUCAACCGCAGACCGCCGCGUCGCUCGAUCGCUCGCCGCUCAGUUGGGUCAUCGUCGGCCGGCUCGUCCACAGUCCAGGUCGGGCAAGGGUAGGAGCCAAGGGGGCCGGCAUCAACCCCGACAGGGCAGGCAAGCGGGAGCUGGCAGCAGAGGCAACGGCGCGCUGCGGGCCGGGCGCCCAGCUGGACGGCCUCGCGCAUCAGCGAACUGCCUAAGGAGAGCAACGGGGCGCGGGGUGGCUCCUCGGCCUGCUCCCACACAACCACAGCCGCGGCGGCGAGUGGUGAGCAACAGCCUCGUGGUGGCAUGCGUAGAGCAUCGGCAUGCGGGGGAGGCGGCACUCCGACGCUGGGAGGCUGCUCGACCACACCUAGAUGGGCCUCGAGCUCGUCGGCGGUUUCUCACUCCCCCACCUGGGACCUUGCCCCCACCCCUGGAUGUGUGAGGGCACGCCACGCUUCGUGCCCCCAUAACAGCCUUGGCUUCUUGCUGUUAUUCGGCCUCACCCUGGUGCAUCUCGGCUAGUACUUCCCCCAGGUUGCUGAUUUGAUUUUGGGCACCUUUCCUGGUAAGCUUCUCUUCAGGUUCUGCUACUUUGUGUUACAGCAAAUUGGUUACUUUUGUUAAAUGCAUAGUCGGAAUUCGUAGAGCAAUUAAUCUGAUGUUACAGUGACAGUAGGGAGACGCCAUAAAUUAUCCACUAGGAUUUUGCAUCAUGCUUAGCAUAAUCAAAGAUAACUUAUUUUGACCUGCCCUUCCUGAUAGGGAAUUGCCCCGUAGAAGAUCAGUAGUUGCUCUAUGAAAUGUAGCAUAUCUCUGUGAACAAGUCCUAUUUUAGGUUGGCGAGCUGAGUUGUCUUAGAGCCGGCCACUCCCAUGCGUGUGUAUGUGGGUGGACUUUCUCCAACUGCCAAUGAACAGGGUAUUGUGCAGCAGGCAAUAAGUUUCUAAUUUUCUAUAGACAUCCCAAAGAAGGUAGGAGAAUCAGCAGAAGGCACAAGCAGUUGGCAAGAUUCAAAGUUUGUCCAAGGCAGUAGCCAUUGAGAAUGAGUAGGCAAUUUCUUCAUCUCAUGCUACUUUCUAGAUUCAUGAUGAAUGGUCCAUUGUUUAGUGAUUUGGACAUGUGACUUGGAUAUCUUGUUUGGUACUGUAUUUUCCUUAAGACUAUAUAUUACUAGUACCUAGUAGGGUUGUGCUACUGUAUUUGUGCCACUAGGAUUAAUGAAUGAUAGCGUGGCUACAUUUAUGUUGAUCUUGCGUGAUUCUAUCUUCUAUUUUGAUUGGGCUCUGGGCUGCAAUGUUUGUAAUGGGUUGAAUGAGGAAUGGGCUGUAAUAUGUGCAAAUGGGCUGGACAGAUAUAAAAAUGGUUGACAUGUGUAAAACGUAAUGGGCAUGCAAUUUAGCCCACAAUAUAAUGCUCUCCAAAUGGGCUUUGUUGGGCCAUUCAUUGUUUUGUGACGAAUCAAAUCGUUCUGCCACGCCAUAUCCUAGUCAUCCACGCCAUAUCCUAGUCAUCGCUACAUCAGCAGAAGACAAUUUUUUGUGAUGUUUUUUGUACUGCGUGACACUUGCAUAGUCAGUCAUGGCAUAGAUUUCGUGACGUUUUUUGGACUUGGUAGUGACGAAAAGCGAGCGUCACAAAUUAGUGACACCGCAAGGAUUGUCACAAAAUUUGUGACAAAAAAUUAUGUUUUUGUCAUAGAAUACAUUUUAUGAUCCAUAUUAGGCGACGAUCGCAUUUUCGUCACCCGAACGUCACAAAAUGCAAAACAUAACGAAAAUAACUAUUUCUAUGACAUAAAUAGAACGCCACCUAAUGUCAAAUCUCUUGUAGUGUUAUCCUUCUUGGAGCGGAAGACCCUCUUAUUCUUGUUCUUAGAACCAUCUUGACUCACAUGGUUCAUAAGCUCAGGGUGCUGUGAGCGAAGCCUUUGUUCCUCUUGAGCACACUUAGACACAAGUGUGGUUAUGUUCCAUUGCUUAUCACUCCCAUAGCCUUUGUUCCUCUUGAGCACACUUAGACACAAGUGUGGUUAUGUCCCAUUGCUUAUCACUCCCAUUGUAGUUUACCUUGAAAGGCUCAAAAACUGGUGGGAGGGAGGUCAUGACGUGGUGAAGCAGUGUAGCAUCAUUAAGGGGGCAAUCCAGGUCCUUAAGCUUAUCCCGGAUGUCCACCAUCCCCAUAAUGUGCUCCCUGACAUUACCUUGUCCAUUGUACUUAGCGGACAUGAGCUGGGACAGGAGGGUAUUGGCAUUGGACUUUGUAGAUCCCUUAAAGUACUCCUCAAUGCUCGUCAUGAAGCUCUUAGCACUCUUAGGCUCCUUCUCAAGAGCUCCCCUGAUUGUGAGACUGAUGGUAAAAUCCAUGACCAUGAGAGCAAUUCGAUCAGAGCGCUCCCAACGCUCCUUUUCCUUCUCAUAAGCAGCAGUGCGCUCAGCAAGGGUGGUGUCAUCAGUCCCUUGUGCAACUGGUGCUAUAGGAGCUCUGUCUCUCAUGAAAUGAUCCUUAUCCAUCAUGACCAAAAUCAGCUCUAUCUCACGGCUCAACUUUGCGAAGUUAUCACCUGACAGCUUCUCCACAACAUUGACAUAAGCAAUGAUACUGGCGGGAGUGGGAUAUGAGUAUAAGAAAAUAAAUAGAGUUUAUUCAGUAAUGACAACAUAAUGAAUAAAUGAAUUAAUCAGCGUUGGCCAGAAUAAAACAUAACUUAGUGCAAUUUGCAACACCGUUGGGCAGUAGCAAAUAAAGGAACUGAAUAACUUAUAAAAUAAACUUUGCAUCACCAUUGGGCAGAAACAAAGUAACUUAGCAUAAAGAAUGCAGCGGAAACUUAAUUUUGCAUCACUGUUGGGCAGAAGCAAAAUAAACUUAAAUUUAAACUAAACAUCUCGUGGCAAUUAUUUAAUAACAAUGUUGGUCAGAAAUUAAAUAAAUGCUCAAAAUAAACUAAACAAUUCUGAAUAAAAUUCACGUUGGUUUCAUUUUCUCAUAAUUUUCAGUGCAAAGAUGCUCAAAACAAAAUUCAUUUAGUACUCAUAUGAAUUUGUAACUUAAAUGCAUUGAAAAUUAAACUCAUAAAUGCAUAAAACGAAGAAAGUUAGGGGGCCUAAAGCUUAUUGGGCUCGAAGCCCAAAAACCGACCGGCGGGCCGGCCAUCCGGCCCUGCCGCGCCCCCACUCGCCCACCCCCGCCUGGGCUUGGGGCCCAGCAGCCAAUGGCUAGGCCGCCAAUUCGGCCCGAGCGGAGUCCCCACGUGGCUGAACUGAUCUGAGCCGUCCGAUCGGAAAACCCUUAUCCGACGGUCCGCACUGAACAUCGGAGGUAUAAAAGUGGACCUCUUCUAGGAAACCCUGACCCUAGCUCAUUCUUUUCCUCUCCACUCAUCCAGCAGCCCUGCAGCAGCACGGGCGCCGGCACUUCGGCCUCCGCCCGCCACCUCAAGCCGCUCGGCGUGCCUCCGCCGGUGUGCGCCUCCCGGAGCAUCUUAUGGCAACGCCGGCCAUGUCACCGGCCGGUGGUGGUGCUCCAGGGCCACCCCUCAAGCACCGCCAUUGCGGGUGCGGGUGCGCCGGAGAACCACCGCCGUCCGGCGUCGUGCUCUGGCCGCCACUUCCUCAAGCGCUGCUCCGGCCGGCCUCUGGAGCGGCUUCUCAUCCACGGCUUGGUAGGGCGCGGGUGCGUCGCCGGUCCCGGCGCCUUGCGGCGACCAUGAGGCCGACGGCGCAUCCGCGGUUUGCCUUGCCGCGGCGCCGUCCUUUUUUUUUACUGCCGCUGUGGGAGUCUCAGGACCCCAUGUAUUCUCAUGGUGCGCCGCCGCGGGUGCCACUGAGCCCCGUGCAUCCUCAUGGCGUAGCACCUUGCGAGCGCUCGGUAGUACGUUUAACUUAGCGGGCGCUGGGCGCCGCCUAGGGAGCUGGUCUUUUUUCUUUUUGUUUCUAAUGACGAGAUCUUAUGGCUUUUCGAAUCUGAGUGGGGGUUUUUGGGGUUUCUUUGGGGGUGAGAACCUAUGGAUCUGAUUGCUUUCUACUCAUUUCUUAUCUCUCACUCUCGGAUCUAAAGGUUUCCAUGCGAGAUCUAGGCUUAGGACUAGUAGAUCUACACUAAUCAUGAACUAAAACUUGAACCGAGAACUUAAAACACUUAGACCGAGAACUAAAACCAACCAAGAUCUGAAACUUGACUAGAUCUAGGGUUCUAAUGGCUCACGGAGUAGGUGCUCAGGCGAAUGAUACCAAAUGUAGGAAAAACAUGACUUAGUAUUUAACAUUUCCAGGAUCUAGCACCUAAUCAACAUGAGCACAACCCAAAUGAAAUGACAAGUUGUAGAUCUAGACCGGGAAGAAGUGGCAUCAUAGACGUAGCAGAUGUUUCGGCCAUCAUGGUUGGGGACGAGAGCGACAUAGGGGCCGUAGUCAUUCCCGUAGUUGUACCUGACGUAGUUGAAGGAGAUCGUCGCGGGUACCGCCUGCCUUCGGGUCGCCACUGGCACUGUCCAGGGAUGGCGGCGCGCAGGUUGGCGACGGCCUUCAGGAGGCUCCAGUGCCGCCACAGAUCGGGCGGCUGUAGUGGGGCGGCUAGGGUUUUGACUCAGUUGGACUGACUUUCCAAAGGCCGGGCCCGACAUUCAAUAUGUUGAUGACACGGUCAUCAUGAUAGAUGGGUCAGAACAAUCUGUGCUAAAUCUCAAACCCAUCUUAUACUUGAAUGGCUCUCUGGAUUGAAAAUAAACUUCCAUAAGAGCGAUGUCUUUGGGUUUGGAAUGGAUCAGACGCAGCACGAGAGACUGGCCAAUAUGCUCAACUGUAAGCUGGGCUCUUGGCCAAUGAGGUAUCUGGGGAUACCAAUUUAAGACUCAAAACUGGGUGCUGUAGAUUUUGCAGGGUUGAAGCAAAAAAUGAGUAAAAGACUUGACACUUGAAAAGGUAAGGACCUAUCCUCAGGAGGGAAACAGGUGCUUUUAAACUCCUGUCUCUCUGGUUUACCAAUGUUCAUGAUGGGCUUUUACCUACUCCCUAAGGCCUCGUUCGGCAAGGCUCGGAACGGCCCGAAAUGAGGCCCAAUCUGGGCGGAUUGGGAUAGCCCGGAAUGAAAUCAGGUUUGGCCCGGAAUCACUGUUCGAUUGGCCUAGCCCGGAAUCAAACAUGGACCGGAUCAGCCUCCCAUUCCAGCUCCAUGGCCCGGAACAAAGCUGGACCUCCUCCCUCCCGGAACGAAACCAGGCGAGGCGUCGCGAGUCUCCGACGUGAAAUCAGGAGGCGGCAGCGUGCGAGGCGCCAAGGCGGCGGGGCGAGGCGACGGCGACGACGCAGCGGCACGGCACGUGCUCCGCCAUCUUCUCGCCGAUUGUACCAGCAGUUCCUAGAAUUGGUGAAGACGAGCCACCUCCUUCCUGGGACCCCGUUUUGACUCCGAAAGCUCAAGAACACAUCUGACAAGAAGAAGAGGUUUCAAGGUCUAAGUUAUACCUUAUCCAUGUCACCUAUAUAUAUAGUGGGCUAAAUAAUGGAUCUUGUUUCGGCCGAGGAGUUCAAUGUUACUAUGUUUGCAAUUUUGGAUCAGUGACUUCUCUAGCAUAUUGUCACCUUGUUGAGACCUAGUUCUGUGUUGCCAGAACGUGCUCUUUCUAUCUUUAUACCUUAUAUGGCAGUCAAAGGUUUUUAUUCUGUAAACUAAUGCUUGAAUCAUUUGUUGACUAGUGCUUUGAUACUGCUUGCUCCAGGCUCGUAUAGUGCUUGCUCCGGCAUGUGUUUGCUUUGAUAUGGCAGUAUGUAUUAUAUAUUUUGUGAUCACUCCAGAAUGUGCUUUCUUUGAUAGUGCUUUGAAUGCACUACGGAAUGUGAAAGUUUGUAUUAUAUAGUGCUUGCUGCAA
RNA transcript from Panicum virgatum (switchgrass), 5981 nucleotides. It is a transcript of the gene named protein ALP1-like, with no coding region annotated. The transcript is spliced from 4 exons. The record is from RefSeq and is a predicted model, not a curated record. NCBI's taxonomy places the organism in Eukaryota, Viridiplantae, Streptophyta, Magnoliopsida, Poales, Poaceae.